RNAcentral lists this ribosomal RNA (491 nucleotides) under uncultured Alphaproteobacteria bacterium. Its description in RNAcentral is "bacterial SSU rRNA". It matches the Rfam family "Bacterial small subunit ribosomal RNA", at positions 9 to 519 of the family's 1533-position model. The record is from RNAcentral. Lineage: Bacteria; Pseudomonadati; Pseudomonadota; Alphaproteobacteria.
GAGUUUGAUCGUGGCUCAGAGCGAACGCUGGCGGCAGGCUUAACACAUGCAAGUCGAGCGGGUGUAGCAAUACAUCAGCGGCAGACGGGUGAGUAACGCGUGGGAACGUACCUUUUGGUUCGGAACAACCCAGGGAAACUUGGGCUAAUACCGGAUAAGCCCUUACGGGGAAAGAUUUAUCGCCGAAAGAUCGGCCCGCGUCUGAUUAGCUAGUUGGUGAGGUAAUGGCUCACCAAGGCGACGAUCAGUAGCUGGUCUGAGAGGAUGAUCAGCCACAUUGGGACUGAGACACGGCCCAAACUCCUACGGGAGGCAGCAGUGGGGAAUUUUGGACAAUGGGCGCAAGCCUGAUCCAGCCAUUCCGCGUGCAGGAUGAAGGCCCUCGGGUUGUAAACUGCUUUUGUACGGAACGAAACGGUGCUGGUUAAUACCCGGCGCUAAUGACGGUACCGUAAGAAUAAGCACCGGCUAACUACGUGCCAGCCGCCGCU